GAUGAACGCUGGCGGCGUGCCUAAUACAUGCAAGUCGAGCGAACGGACGAGAAGCUUGCUUCUCUGAUGUUAGCGGCGGACGGGUGAGUAACACGUGGAUAACCUACCUAUAAGACUGGGAUAACUUCGGGAAACCGGAGCUAAUACCGGAUGAUAUUUUGAACCGCAUGGUUCAAAAGUGAAAGACGGUCUUGCUGUCACUUAUAGAUGGAUCCGCGCUGCAUUAGCUAGUUGGUAAGGUAACGGCCUACCAAGGCAACGAUGCAUAGCCGACCUGAGAGGAUGAUCAGCCACACUGGAACUGAGACACGGUCCAGACUCCUACGGGAGGCAGCAGUGGGGAAUAUUGUACAAUGGGCGCAAGCCUGAUCCAGCAAUACCGCGUGGGUGAAGAAGGCCUUCGGGUUGUAAAGCCCUUUUGUUGGGAAAGAAAAGCAGCAGGUUAAUACCCCGCUGUUCUGACGGUACCCAAAGAAUAAGCACCGGCUAACUUCGUG
Molecule: ribosomal RNA, 497 nt
Filed under: uncultured bacterium
Lineage: Bacteria
Description: partial 16S ribosomal RNA
Rfam family: Bacterial small subunit ribosomal RNA
Source: RNAcentral